Long non-coding RNA from Mustela erminea (ermine), 816 nucleotides. RefSeq lists it as uncharacterized. The record is from RefSeq and is a predicted model, not a curated record. NCBI's taxonomy places the organism in Eukaryota, Metazoa, Chordata, Mammalia, Carnivora, Mustelidae. The transcript is spliced from 3 exons.
UGUAUUCCUUUUGUAUUUGUAACAAAUAACACCCAUAUCAAAAUAGCGUCAUAAUGUCUUCCUUAUCUUCCCGGGAGCUCUGCAGCAAAAAGCUAAGAAGACCAUGCACAUGAGGUGAGUGACUCAUACAAGAUGGGAAGCUGGCUAACUGGUUAGCCCUGAAUUGAACAAAGUUAACACCCAAGAGAAAGUUUCCAAACUUUGACUAAGCCAAAACAGGUGUUGUUCCCAAGAACACUUUACUAAAAAAUAUCCUGCAUACAAAUCGUCAUCAUCAUCCACCAGUCAAAACACCUGUUAAAUUCUUUUGUGUCUAUGACAAGAUAUACAAGAUACUGGAUCACUGCAACAUCAGUGACUCUCAAAGUUUCUGCUGAAAACUUCAAAGAGGCUGAGAAGACAUGUGAACUGUCAUGAUCUUAAGAGUGCAGUCAGUGUUUUCAAUCAGGCUCCUUCAAAAACUGGUUGAAAGUGUUUGGUAGAUUGAUUCAGAAAGGAGUCUAAGGUUGCAUACUUCAGAAGAUCCUGAAUGUGCUUGCCACAAAUUCACAUACAAAAAGGUGUGUCCUUUUUUCCAAUUCAAAAAGGGUGAACAAAAUAAAUAAACUUUAAAAAAAUCCAAAGGGAUAGCAUAAAACAUUAAUUCAACAGUGACAAACUUCAGCUCUUUAAUUCUAAACAUUCUGGUUAGAAAUGAAAGGAUUUCAGAAUAUAAGAAAAAUGUCCUAUGUAGCUAGAGACAAAGGUAUGGUAAUAGCCAAGCCAUGAAAAUUUGCAAUACAGUGCUUCAAUUUAAUAGUACUUCUUCUUCUUCUU